RNAcentral lists this ribosomal RNA (253 nucleotides) under uncultured Rikenellaceae bacterium. RNAcentral describes it as "partial 16S ribosomal RNA". It matches the Rfam family "Bacterial small subunit ribosomal RNA", at positions 524 to 776 of the family's 1533-position model. The record is from RNAcentral. Lineage: Bacteria; Pseudomonadati; Bacteroidota; Bacteroidia; Bacteroidales; Rikenellaceae.
UACGGAGGAUCCAAGCGUUAUCCGGAUUUAUUGGGUUUAAAGGGUGCGUAGGCGGUUUUAUAAGUUAGAGGUGAAAAUUCGGGGCUCAACUCCGGACGUGCCUCUAAUACUGUAUGACUAGAGAAUAGAUGCGGUAGGCGGAAUGUAUGGUGUAGCGGUGAAAUGCGUAGAGAUCAUACAGAACACCGAUUGCGAAGGCAGCAUACCGGUGCACAACUGACGCUCAGGCACGAAAGCGUGGGUAUCGAACAGG